Molecule: ribosomal RNA, 288 nt
Filed under: uncultured bacterium
Lineage: Bacteria
Description: partial 16S ribosomal RNA
Rfam family: Bacterial small subunit ribosomal RNA
Source: RNAcentral
AUUGAACGCUGGCGGCAUGCUUUACACAUGCAAGUCGAACGGCAGCACGGGGGCAACCCUGGUGGCGAGUGGCGAACGGGUGAGUAAUGCAUCGGAACGUAUCUUCAAGUGGGGGAUAACGCAUCGAAAGAUGCGCUAAUACCGCAUAAUCUCUGAGGAGAAAAGCAGGGGAUCGCAAGACCUUGCGCUUCUGGAGCGGCCGAUGUCGAUUAGCUAGUUGGUGGGGUAAGGCUUACCAAGGCUUCGAUCAGUAGCUGGUCUGAGAGGACGACCAGCCACACUGGGACU